UUUUUGUCUCUAGAUGUUAAAUGGUAUUUAUCUAAUUUUUCUUUUGAGUUUUUCCUUCCUUUCCAAAUAGGUAUUUCCAAAAUGGGGGACAACUAAGUAAUUUUUCCCAAGGAGGAAGAGGCCUUGACCAUACUCUGCUUUUUUUAUGCAUACUGUUACUGUCUCUGAGUUCAUAAACUUGGAUAGAACAUUUGCAGACAGGAUCUUACGAAGUGUGAAAAUCUCAGUUUACAUUUGUCAACAUAAGCCAUGCCCCACAGCAUCCUCUGGCCCAGUCUGGCCUUCUCGUGAUUCAUGGAAACAUGGAGCAAUGAGUCCAGGAAAAAGGGUUAGAGGUUGUCUUUGAUGUGCCUUCAUUGUCCUUCCUGGAUUCUCCCUCGAGCCUGGAAUGGCGGAACACACUGCAUCAUAUAACUGCUACCCAGCGAAGGUGGAAUUGCUCCUUGCACUUUCAAGGAGGGAGGGACGUCUGACUUUGUAAUCCUCAGCCCAAAGC
This 496-nucleotide long non-coding RNA is filed under the name Bos taurus (domestic cattle). Its description in RNAcentral is "long non-coding RNA NONBTAT020424". The record is from RNAcentral. Lineage: Eukaryota; Metazoa; Chordata; Mammalia; Artiodactyla; Bovidae.